GUAUACCAACGCUUUUCAUUUUAUAGGGCUUCUGCUUCGGGAGCAAAAGGUCGCGGGUUCAAAUCCCGCCACUCCGACCA
RNAcentral lists this transfer RNA (80 nucleotides) under Caudoviricetes sp. Its description in RNAcentral is "tRNA-Pro". The record is from RNAcentral. Lineage: Duplodnaviria; Heunggongvirae; Uroviricota; Caudoviricetes.